RNAcentral lists this ribosomal RNA (347 nucleotides) under uncultured fungus. RNAcentral's name for it is "SSU rRNA". It matches the Rfam family "Eukaryotic small subunit ribosomal RNA", at positions 20 to 370 of the family's 1831-position model. The record is from RNAcentral. Lineage: Eukaryota; Fungi.
GUAGUCAUAUGCUUGUCGUCAAAGAUUAACCCAGCCAUGUUUAAGAAUAACCAAUUAUACCGUGAAACUGCGAAUGGCUCAUUAAAUCAGUUAUCGUUUAUUUGAUAGUACCUUACUACUUGGAUAACCGUGGUAAUUCUAGAGCUAAUACAUGCUAAAAACCCCGACUUCGGAAGGGGUGUAUUUAUUAGAUAAAAAACCAAUGCCCUUCGGGGCUCCUUGGUGAUUCAUAAUAACUUAACGAAUCGCAUGGCCUUGCGCCGGCGAUGGUUCAUUCAAAUUUCUGCCCUAUCAACUUUCCAUGGGAGGGUAUUGGCCUAACCUGGUUUCCACGGGUAACGGGGAAU